RNAcentral lists this long non-coding RNA (209 nucleotides) under Mytilus galloprovincialis (Mediterranean mussel). The record is from RNAcentral. Lineage: Eukaryota; Metazoa; Mollusca; Bivalvia; Mytilida; Mytilidae.
CAAAAAUACCGAACUCAAAGGAAAAAAUAAAAGGGAAUUUCAAAGUCCAAUAUCAUAAGGCAAAAUCAAAAUCAAAAACCCAUCAAACAAUUGGUAAAUAACUAGGAACAGUCCAGAUUUCGAAAAAGCACUUCCUCUGACCUCAUGUAGAAAAUGAUAGAUUGAACCUGGUUUUAUAGCUAGCUAAACCUCUCACUUAAAAAUGGCAC